AACGAACGCUGGCGGCAGGCCUAACACAUGCAAGUCGAACGAGACCUUCGGGUCUAGUGGCGCACGGGUGCGUAACGCGUGGGAACCUGCCCUUAGGUUCGGAAUAACUCCCCGAAAGGGGUGCUAAUACCGGAUAAUGUCUUCGGACCAAAGAUUUAUCGCCUUUGGAUGGGCCCGCGUUGGAUUAGCUAGUUGGUAGGGUAAAAGCCUACCAAGGCGACGAUCCAUAGCUGGUCUGAGAGGAUGAUCCGCCACACUGGGACUGAGACACGGCCCAGACUCCUACGGGAGGCAGCAGUGGGGAAUAUUGGACAAUGGGCGAAAGCCUGAUCCAGCAAUGCCGCGUGAGUGAUGAAGGCCUUAGGGUUGUAAAGCUCUUUUACCCGGGAUGAUAAUGACAGUACCGGGAGAAUAAGCUCCGGCUAACUCCGUG
Molecule: ribosomal RNA, 433 nt
Filed under: uncultured bacterium
Lineage: Bacteria
Description: partial 16S ribosomal RNA
Rfam family: Bacterial small subunit ribosomal RNA
Source: RNAcentral